Unclassified non-coding RNA from Vulpes vulpes (red fox), 329 nucleotides. Its record names the gene 7SK. It matches the Rfam family "7SK RNA". Rfam says of the family: 7SK was discovered as an abundant small nuclear RNA in the mid-70s but a possible function has only recently been suggested. Two independent studies have found that 7SK RNA binds the CDK9/cyclin T complex (known as elongation factor P-TEFb). Lineage: Eukaryota; Metazoa; Chordata; Mammalia; Carnivora; Canidae. The record is from Ensembl.
GGAUGUGAGGGCGAUCUGGCUGCAACAUCUGUCACCCCAUUGAUUGCCAGGGUUGAUUCAGCUGAUCUGGCUGGCUAGGCGGGUGUCCCCUUCCUCCCUCACCGCUCAAUGUGCGUCCCUCCCAAAGUUGCGCACUCGGUCAAAGAGGACAACCAUCCCCAAUAGAGGAGGACCGUUCUCCAGUCAAGGGUAUACGAGUAGCUGCGCUCCCCUGCUAGAACCUCCAAACAAGCUCUCAACUCUAUUUUAUGUGUUCAAAAAGUUAAAUAGAGAUGUAGAAAACAUUUAAAAAGACACAAUGUAUGGAAGUAUGAGAUUUAUAAUUUUUU